GGUCUUAGCUUGCUAAGGCUGAUGGCGACCGGCGCACGGGUGAGUAACACGUAUCCAACCUGCCGUCUACUCUUGGCCAGCCUUCUGAAAGGAAGAUUAAUCCAGGAUGGCAUCAUGAGUUCACAUGUCCGCAUGAUUAAAGGUAUUUUCCGGUAGACGAUGGGGAUGCGUUCCAUUAGAUAGUAGGCGGGGUAACGGCCCACCUAGUCAACGAUGGAUAGGGGUUCUGAGAGGAAGGUCCCCCACAUUGGAACUGAGACACGGUCCAAACUCCUACGGGAGGCAGCAGUGAGGAAUAUUGGUCAAUGGGCGAUGGCCUGAACCAGCCAAGUAGCGUGAAGGAUGACUGCCCUAUGGGUUGUAAACUUCUUUUAUAAAGGAAUAAAGUCGGGUAUGCAUACCCGUUUGCAU
Molecule: ribosomal RNA, 411 nt
Filed under: Bacteroides sp. oral taxon D25
Lineage: Bacteria; Pseudomonadati; Bacteroidota; Bacteroidia; Bacteroidales; Bacteroidaceae
Description: bacterial SSU rRNA
Rfam family: Bacterial small subunit ribosomal RNA
Source: RNAcentral